Molecule: ribosomal RNA, 433 nt
Filed under: uncultured bacterium
Lineage: Bacteria
Description: bacterial SSU rRNA
Rfam family: Bacterial small subunit ribosomal RNA
Source: RNAcentral
UGGCUCAGAACGAACGCUGGCGGCGUGCUUAACACAUGCAAGUCGAACGGAGCCAUAAUGAAGUAGCAAUACGGAGAUAUGGCUUAGUGGCGGACGGGUGAGUAACACGUAGGUAACCGACCCUGAAGCGGGGGACAACUCUUCGAAAGGAGAGCUAAUACCGCAUAAGACCACGAUUUGGAAGGAUUGUGGUAAAAGUAGCAAUACACUUUAGGACGGGCCUGCGGCCUAUCAGGUAGUUGGUAAGGUAACGGCUUACCAAGCCUAAGACGGGUAGCCGGACUGAGAGGUUGAACGGCCACACUGGAACUGAGAUACGGUCCAGACUCCUACGGGAGGCAGCAGUGGGGAAUUUUGCGCAAUGGGGGAAACCCUGACGCAGCGACGCCGCGUGGAGGAUGAAGGUCUUCGGAUUGCAAACUCCUUUUGUAGG